UGCUGUGUAGAAAGGUGUGUGUGUUUGUUGCAGGCUUGGGAGAGCAAAGCUGCAGUAUGUCGCAGCCCAACCGCCAUCACUAAGCACAAAACGGCUUAAAAUUGGUGGUUUUGUCGAGUCAGUAAAUCGACGCCCCAGUCGAACGUGUGCGCCGCUGCUGCUGCGCCGCUAGAUGUAAUUUGUCAUUCCCCCCAAACAUGGCGACUUCUACGACAAGGCAAAACGUGGCGGUGGGGUUCGUCGCUUCCAUCCCGGGAAAGGAACAAACAAAUGGUGGGUGGUGGUGUAAAAGCCAUGUUUAUCGGAUAAUUGAGUGUUUAUGCUGUGAUUGAAGCGACGAAUUCAAUAAUAUUAAUUGACUUUAGCACCAUCCAGCCGCUUACACCGUGAAACAAUCAGGCUGUGCUUUGGGGACGAAGAUUCUGCCCAAGCCAAAGGGCCGACAUUCAUCGCGUCAAUUGUGGUACCACUCUUUCCCGAGGUACCCCUCUUAAAUCUCACGUACUGUUCAGUUGGAACUUUGCAAACGCAGGAGGAGAACGCAACGAUUUUAACGGUGGUUUGCAUGAGUAAUUUCAUUAAAUCGCUACAAUCUAAUUAA
This is a long non-coding RNA of Anopheles arabiensis, 601 nucleotides long. RefSeq lists it as uncharacterized. The transcript has 2 exons. NCBI's taxonomy places the organism in Eukaryota, Metazoa, Arthropoda, Insecta, Diptera, Culicidae. The record is from RefSeq and is a predicted model, not a curated record.